This is a long non-coding RNA of Culex pipiens pallens (northern house mosquito), 694 nucleotides long. RefSeq lists it as uncharacterized. Lineage: Eukaryota; Metazoa; Arthropoda; Insecta; Diptera; Culicidae. The transcript is spliced from 2 exons. The record is from RefSeq and is a predicted model, not a curated record.
UGAGUUACUAAAGGUAUGCGGAACUUUUCAUUUUUCAAAUUGUCGCAAUCGAAAUACAUUGUUAUGGUUUUUUUUCAUUCAGGGAAAUUCAAACAAAAAUCUUAACAUUUUUCACCAGUUAAGGAAAACUAUUUUGCUGCAAAUUUUUGUAUAAAAAUCAUUAUUUAUUGAUCUUAUUUAUGUUGAGUCAAAAGAAAACUGUCAUACCUUCUAUCAUCAAUUUUCUUGGACGGGCCUUUGCUGUGUGUGUUGUGACAGUUGGCUAAAAGUUGCGGUUUAGUUCGUUUGCAACGGGAGAUUUUCUGCGUUGUCGGGAACAAAUUUCCGGAGAAUUCCGUCCAGAAUCGAUUGAAAAUAUUGAAAUUCCAGAUCAACGAAUGGUUUACCAGAUCAUGCAGCUCGAAAAGCUCGUUGGUUCGUUGGAGGAUUUACGGCAUAUUCAAUGCAACUGCAAAGGCGGGCCGCAGGCCGCGGGCUAGUGGAGAUCGAGUUCCGGCCGCAACGAAAAGUGCAGAAUGACGAGAUCGAGCCGGGUGUUCCAAAAUGACAAGGCCGGGUGUGCAAAACGACAAGGCCCCCGACGGCACCGUUUGCGAGAGCUGAAAGCUUCCAGAAGUGUUUUUUUUUGUGCCACGUGAUAAAUAAGUGUGUGAUGAUCAUGUUUGUGUUGUGAAUAAAACAGUUUUUGACCAAA